UACCCGCAGCUCAAGUGGUGGUCAUUAUUAUUGGGCCUAAAGCGUCCGUAGCUGGCUUGUUAGAUGCCUGGGUAAAUCGAUGCGCUCAACGCAUCGAAUUCCGGGUAGACCGGCAAGCUUGGGACCGGGAGAGGCAUGGGCUACUCGCGGGGUAGGGGUAAAAUCCUGUAAUCCUGCGGGGAGGACCAGUGGCGAAGGCGCCAUGCUAGAACGGCUCUGACAGUGAGGGACGAAGCCCUGGGGCGCAAACCGG
This 253-nucleotide ribosomal RNA is filed under the name uncultured bacterium. Its description in RNAcentral is "partial 16S ribosomal RNA". It matches the Rfam family "Archaeal small subunit ribosomal RNA", at positions 474 to 727 of the family's 1478-position model. The record is from RNAcentral.